UACGUAGGGUGCAAGCGUUGUCCGGAAUUAUUGGGCGUAAAGAGCUCGUAGGCGGCUUGUCGCGUCUGCUGUGAAAACUCGGGGCUUAACUCCGGGCCUGCAGUGGGUACGGGCAGACUAGAGUGCGGUAGGGGAGACUGGAAUUCCUGGUGUAGCGGUGAAAUGCGCAGAUAUCAGGAGGAACACCGGUGGCGAAGGCGGGUCUCUGGGCCGUAACUGACGCUGAGGAGCGAAAGCGUGGGGAGCGAACAGG
This 253-nucleotide ribosomal RNA is filed under the name uncultured bacterium. RNAcentral's name for it is "partial 16S ribosomal RNA". It matches the Rfam family "Bacterial small subunit ribosomal RNA", at positions 524 to 776 of the family's 1533-position model. The record is from RNAcentral.